This 590-nucleotide long non-coding RNA is filed under the name Scophthalmus maximus (turbot). RNAcentral describes it as "lncRNA (ENSSMAG00000021777.1)". The record is from RNAcentral. Lineage: Eukaryota; Metazoa; Chordata; Actinopteri; Pleuronectiformes; Scophthalmidae.
CCUCAAAGCUUUGGAAACAGUUCACAAAUUAAACAGAGCCCAGACAUUAGCUCACAAAGUGGACGUCUGCCCGAGGAGCCGGUACUCACAGUGACUGUGUGACGUCAGGUCGAGACCCCACUUCCCCCUCGGUGGAAGCUGUCGACCGCCAGUUGGGGAAGGACGCCAUGUUGGAUCCGUGGCGACGAGGCGUUCAGGGCCAACACGUUAUUUGAAGCUAACCGCUGGCAUGCUAGCUUGUAGUCACGAGAGUCCACCUUCAUGAAGAGUCUGCUUGUGACCGAGCAGCAUGUGGUCAACGACGAGUGAGUUCGCUAAUGAGCAGCGUCAGUCCACCUGUGCGGAGCACGUGGGCGUUGACAGACUCAAGUGAACAAGAUGAGACAGAUUUCUCCGCUAUUAAUGGAAAUGGACCACGGCACCAAACCUCCCGCAAGUCUGAAGAAUUUCCAAAAGGCAGCGCUAACAGGCAAAGAUCGCUUUCAUAUCUGUUGAUUUGUGUGACCACCAAGGACCUUUGUGUCAAUGUUAAUCUUAUAUAAAUAAAAUAAAAAACAAAGCUCCUCAUGUCUGGUCACUUUACGUCACUG